AUGGCUGAAGCUUUAGCUCUCAAGUUUGGCCUAACAAUCGCGCAAAGGGCAGGGUGUAACCACCUAAUCAUCAACUCAAACAACAUGGAGGUGGUUGAGACCAUGCAGGAAGGAGGACAAUCAGCGGGGGCAGCGGCGGCAGUUUUCGAGGACUGUUAUCACUAUGCCUAUGAUUUUUUCACGACUCGAUUCGAACAUUGUAAUAGAGAGGAAAAUAAAGUAGCUCAUGAACUUGCUACAUUAGCUAAAUUUUCUUCGACUUCUGACUGGUUUGAGGAACCUCCAAAUGAAAUUGUAAUGAUCCUCACAAACAAUGUAUUGGUUAUUUCAAAUGAAUAA
This 339-nucleotide ribosomal RNA is filed under the name Triticum aestivum (bread wheat). RNAcentral describes it as "partial small subunit ribosomal RNA". The record is from RNAcentral. Lineage: Eukaryota; Viridiplantae; Streptophyta; Magnoliopsida; Poales; Poaceae.